CAAAAAUUAGGUUUUUAACUCCACAAAAAUUAGGUUUUUAACUCCACAAAAAUAAGGUUUUAACUCCAAAAAAAUUAGUUUUACACUUUGUACUUUGAAUAAAUGCUUCUGAAUUUUGCUAUAAAAACACAGAGUUGCUCAUCAGACUUUUACUCCCAAAAUCUCAUUUUUUAGUGAUUUUUUUUUCCUCUUUAUUCCCCAGGGAAUGCAGGAUCCAGAUGUGUCACAGGGACUUGUGUAACUCCUAUAAAAAUAACCCACAAAAAAAAAAAAAAACACAUUUAAUCCCCAGUUUUGUUGUUGUUUUUUUUUUUUUUUUUCUUUUUUUUUUCUUUUGGCUGUGUGGGGAGAGAUCCAAAAUAAAGGGAUUUAACAAAAAUAUCCUGUGGUUUUUACUGGGUUAUUUAAUAAGUGAGUUACAAAAUAAUCUGGUUUUUAAUAGCCUGGCACUGCAAAUCCAAAGCAAAACUUUAAAUUCAGAUUAAAUUUUAAAAUAAUUUUUGGUUUUCUGUGAAUUAUUUCUCAAAAUAACUCCCUGAGAUCAGAAUCCAGCCCGAGUUCAAAAUAAAAUCCAACUUUGAGGCCAGCAAAAGGGAAUAAAAAGAAUAAAUAAUAAUAAAAAAAUAAAUUAAAUAAAUA
This is a long non-coding RNA of Oenanthe melanoleuca, 639 nucleotides long. RefSeq lists it as uncharacterized. Lineage: Eukaryota; Metazoa; Chordata; Aves; Passeriformes; Muscicapidae. The transcript is spliced from 2 exons. The record is from RefSeq and is a predicted model, not a curated record.